AGUUGGUCUUCUUAAGUUUAAUGUCAAAUUUACUUUUGACUUUUUUGUUAAAGAAAUAUAUUUAUAUUUUAAUCCGCAGGAUGUGCAGAGGGGGCUUCAAUCACAGGAACAGAGUGAAGCAGUCUAUAAGGCACAAGUCAAUUUUCAGCCAGUCCAAGUUAUCUCUUUUUGAUUGGUCACGGUUCAUUUACAGGUUUUCACAAGGACUGCGUUUAAGACAGAUUGACAUGAUGAUGGAUGAGAUAUCAAGGAGUCCGACCUCUCUUUCAAAGAUGGCAAAGAAGCUACGAGAAGUAUGUAUUUGGGCACUUAAUAGAAGAAGGAGAAGGAAGGGACAGCGAUUGGGUGGAAGACACGAGUAUGUGGUGAUCGACGAAAGCCACUUCAGACAUAAGAGAAAGUAUGGGAGAGGCAGAGCGGCUGGGGGGUGGAAAAGAAAAAAGUGGGUUUUUGGCAUGUUGGGCGUGAAGAAAAGUGAUGGGAAGAGUCAGAGACCAAUCCUGCGCCUGGUGGACAGGCGAACCAGACAAGAACUUGUCCCUUUGCUAUGCCGACAUGUAAAAAUGGGCUCUUACAUCAUUAGUGAUGAAUGGCGGUCAUACCGUGUACUUAAUGAUCUGGGGUUCAGACACUUGACUGUAAACCACAGUAUGUGGUAUAUGGAUCCUAUUACAGGAAACCAUACACAGCACAUUGAACGUGCUUGGCGAACUGUUAAGGAGCAGGUCUGGAGACAAAGGGGCAACCGGACAGAAGAACUGUUGUCAGACCACCUAAAUGUGAUUGAGUGGCAUGAAUGGAUUGCAAAAAAGUACCACAGUGGUCCAUUGGGUAGGAUUUUGCAUGACAUAGCAGAGAUGUACAAACAUCUCUGAAACACAUACACAGUCUUUCAUUAAAGGCACACCAGGUAACAUUUUUAGGUUAAUUUAACAGUUUCUUAGUCACUGAUGAUUAAAUGGCUAAUUACCGGGUGAAUGGAGCGUCUCUCACCCAUCUUUGCCUUGUGUGCCUUUAAGAAACCUAUUAAAUCUUAAAAAAAAGCUAUUGGAGAGUUCUUUGUUAGAGUUAUAAAUAAAAUAUUUCCAUCCCCCUUCCCAACAGUGUGUGCUGAGAUCAUUCAUUUCCAGUGUGAAAGUGAAAA
Gadus chalcogrammus (walleye pollock) is the source of this 1144-nucleotide long non-coding RNA. RefSeq lists it as uncharacterized. The transcript is spliced from 3 exons. Lineage: Eukaryota; Metazoa; Chordata; Actinopteri; Gadiformes; Gadidae. The record is from RefSeq and is a predicted model, not a curated record.